AUACGGAGGGGGCUAGCGUUGUUCGGAAUUACUGGGCGUAAAGCGCGCGUAGGCGGAUUGAUCAGUCAGGGGUGAAAUCCCGAGGCUUAACCUCGGAACUGCCUUUGAUACUGUCAAUCUUGAGUUCGAGAGAGGUGAGUGGAAUUCCUAGUGUAGAGGUGAAAUUCGUAGAUAGUAGGAAGAACACCAGUGGCGAAGGCGGCUCACUGGCCCGAUACUGACGGUGAGGCGCGAAAGCGUGGGGAGCAAACAGAAUUAGAAACCCUAGUAGUCC
This 274-nucleotide ribosomal RNA is filed under the name uncultured bacterium. RNAcentral's name for it is "partial 16S ribosomal RNA". It matches the Rfam family "Bacterial small subunit ribosomal RNA", at positions 523 to 796 of the family's 1533-position model. The record is from RNAcentral.